GCCUCUGUGGUGUAGUGGUCAACACGUUCGACGUGAAUUCAAGAGGUCCGUGGUUCGAAUCUCGGCGAGGGCA
This 73-nucleotide transfer RNA is filed under the name Stegodyphus mimosarum. It matches the Rfam family "tRNA". Rfam says of the family: Transfer RNA (tRNA) molecules are approximately 80 nucleotides in length. Their secondary structure includes four short double-helical elements and three loops (D, anti-codon, and T loops). Further hydrogen bonds mediate the characteristic L-shaped molecular structure. tRNAs have two regions of fundamental functional importance: the anti-codon, which is responsible for specific mRNA codon recognition, and the 3' end, to which the tRNAs corresponding amino acid is attached (by aminoacyl-tRNA synthetases). tRNAs cope with the degeneracy of the genetic code in two manners: having more than one tRNA (with a specific anti-codon) for a particular amino acid; and 'wobble' base-pairing, i.e. permitting non-standard base-pairing at the 3rd anti-codon position. Lineage: Eukaryota; Metazoa; Arthropoda; Arachnida; Araneae; Eresidae. The record is from Rfam by way of RNAcentral.